GGGGGCGACCGGUUUCGACAGAGCCGUUAGUUGCCACGGUUGCGAGCCGAGGCGCCGCUGGCCUCGUAAAAAGCGGCAAACAAAGGAAAAGCGAACAACUACGCUUACGCUGCCUAAUUAGCGCAGCCGUCCUAAGGACCCGAUCCGGUAGGGUCCCCUCAGGGCGUCGACAAAUCCGGAUAGCCCAGGGAGCCACUGCUCGAGGCGACACGGGCGAAUUCAAUCGAGCUGGCCGCGGAGCAGCCUGCCUGCCGGAGAGCCUCGCGGUGAGAGAGAUGCGCAGGCUACGCUCGUAGUAGCCGGGUGACGGCGACUUUGGAAGGGGGUUCAAUUCCCCCCGCCUCCACCA
Molecule: transfer-messenger RNA, 349 nt
Filed under: Fimbriimonadales
Lineage: Bacteria; Bacillati; Armatimonadota; Fimbriimonadia
Also listed under: 3 other names
Description: ATM1 sp003577165 Standard tmRNA
Rfam family: transfer-messenger RNA
About the family: Bacterial tmRNA, also known as 10Sa RNA or SsrA, is named for its dual tRNA and mRNA-like properties. Its role is to liberate the mRNA from a stalled ribosome. To accomplish this part of the tmRNA is used as a reading frame that ends in a translation stop signal.
Source: RNAcentral